This 286-nucleotide unclassified non-coding RNA is filed under the name Inosperma quietiodor. RNAcentral's name for it is "sequence contains 5.8S rRNA gene". The stretch from base 1 to 53 matches the Rfam family "5.8S ribosomal RNA", at positions 102 to 154 of the family's 154-position model. Lineage: Eukaryota; Fungi; Basidiomycota; Agaricomycetes; Agaricales; Inocybaceae. The record is from RNAcentral.
GAACGCAUCUUGCGCUCCUUGGUAUUCCGAGGAGCAUGCCUGUUUGAGUGUCAUUAAUAUCUCAACCACGCAUGAAAGCGUGUGGCUUGGACUUGGGGGAUGAUGCAGGCUCGGACUCGGUCGGUCGGUCUGCUCCCCUGAAAUACAUGAGCGAAAUAAAAGGCCUCUUUGUUGGGUGUGAUAACUCUAUCUGCAUCCGAGGGUCGUUUAUGUUUGCCAGAUUGGAUUGGAUUGGAUUUCAUUUGACUUGACCUCAAAUCAGGUAGGACCACCCGCUGAACUUAAG